UGCAAGUCGAGCGGUAACAGAGAGUAGCUUGCUACUCUGCUGACGAGCGGCGGACGGGUGAGUAAUGCUUGGGAAUGUACCUUAUGGUGGGGGACAACAGUUGGAAACGACUGCUAAUACCGCAUAAUGUCUUCGGACCAAAGCGGGGGACCUUCGGGCCUCGCGCCAUAAGAUCAGCCCAAGUGGGAUUAGCUAGUUGGUGAGGUAAUGGCUCACCAAGGCGACGAUCCCUAGCUGGUUUGAGAGGAUGAUCAGCCACACUGGGACUGAGACACGGCCCAGACUCCUACGGGAGGCAGCAGUGGGGAAUAUUGCACAAUGGGCGCAAGCCUGAUGCAGCCAUGCCGCGUGUGUGAAGAAGGCCUUCGGGUUGUAAAGCACUUUCAGUAAGGAGGAAAGGUUGGAUGUUAAUAGCAUUCAGCUGUGACGUUACUUACAGAAGAAGCACCGGCUAACUCCGUGCCAGCAGCCGCGGUAAUACGGAGGGUGCGAGCGUUAAUCGGAAUUACUGGGCGUAAAGCGUACGCAGGCGGUUUGUUAAGCGAGAUGUGAAAGCCCCGGGCUCAACCUGGGAACUGCAUUU
Molecule: ribosomal RNA, 583 nt
Filed under: Pseudoalteromonas sp. MPWISU_Cu09
Lineage: Bacteria; Pseudomonadati; Pseudomonadota; Gammaproteobacteria; Alteromonadales; Pseudoalteromonadaceae
Description: bacterial SSU rRNA
Rfam family: Bacterial small subunit ribosomal RNA
Source: RNAcentral